This 352-nucleotide unclassified non-coding RNA is filed under the name soil metagenome. RNAcentral's name for it is "partial contains 5.8S ribosomal RNA, internal transcribed spacer 2, and large subunit ribosomal RNA". The stretch from base 1 to 120 matches the Rfam family "5.8S ribosomal RNA", at positions 35 to 154 of the family's 154-position model. The record is from RNAcentral.
GAUGAAGAACGUAGCGAAAUGCGAUAAGUAAUGUGAAUUGCAGAAUUCAGUGAAUCAUCGAAUCUUUGAACGCACAUUGCGCCCGCCAGUAUUCUGGCGGGCAUGCCUGUUCGAGCGUCAUUACAACCCUCAGGCCCCCGGGCCUGGCGUUGGGGAUCGGCGGAGCCCCCCGUGGGCACACGCCGUCCCCCAAAUACAGUGGCGGUCCCGCCGCAGCUUCCAUCGCGUAGUAGCUAACACCUCGCGACUGGAGAGCGGCGCGGCCACGCCGUAAAACACCCAACUCUUCUGAAGUUGACCUCGAAUCAGGUAGGAAUACCCGCUGAACUUAAGCAUAUCAAUAAACGGAGGA